Molecule: non-coding RNA, 120 nt
Organism: Agelaius phoeniceus (red-winged blackbird)
Lineage: Eukaryota; Metazoa; Chordata; Aves; Passeriformes; Icteridae
Source: RefSeq, a predicted model, not a curated record
AUAAAAUCCAAGGCAGAGCCCCCCAUCCCAGGAGGUCAAGGCCGAGAGCAGCAGUCAAGGCUGAGUGGGCAAGGUGGUCCACUUGCCAUCUAUCCUGGCUGAGCAUGCCCAUGCCAGGUG